AUUGAACGCUGGCGGCAGGCCUAACACAUGCAAGUCGAGCGGAUGAAGGGAGCUUGCUCCUGGAUUCAGCGGCGGACGGGUGAGUAAUGCCUAGGAAUCUGCCUGGUAGUGGGGGAUAACGUCCGGACACGGGCGCUAAUACCGCAUACGUCCUGAGGUAGAAAGUGGGGGAUCUUCGGACCUCACGCUAUCAGAUGAGCCUAGGUCGGAUUAGCUAGUUGGUGGGGUAAAGGCCUACCAAGGCGACGAUCCGUAACUGGUCUGAGAGGAUGAUCAGUCACACUGGAACUGAGACACGGUCCAGACUCCUACGGGAGGCAGCAGUGGGGAAUAUUGGACAAUGGGCGAAAGCCUGAUCCAGCCAUGCCGCGUGUGUGAAGAAGGUCUUCGGAUUGUAAAGCACUUUAAGUUGGGAGGAAGGGCAGUAAGUUAAUACCUUGAUGUUUUGACGUUACCAACAGAAUAAGCACCGGCUAACUUCGUG
Molecule: ribosomal RNA, 484 nt
Filed under: uncultured bacterium
Lineage: Bacteria
Description: partial 16S ribosomal RNA
Rfam family: Bacterial small subunit ribosomal RNA
Source: RNAcentral